This is a long non-coding RNA of Herpailurus yagouaroundi (jaguarundi), 292 nucleotides long. RefSeq lists it as uncharacterized. Lineage: Eukaryota; Metazoa; Chordata; Mammalia; Carnivora; Felidae. The transcript has 2 exons. The record is from RefSeq and is a predicted model, not a curated record.
GCCGAGCCCAGGAAGGUUCAGGGCCUGACACAAGGUCAGAGCCCCCACGCACGCCAGCAUCACCACCUGCGGACACCACCCACCUACCGCGGGGAGAAGCCGAAGCACCGCUCCCAGAGGACUGAGUGAAAAACUCUGUGGAAACGUCCCAAGGACUUGGUUCGUUUACUCAACGUCUGCUUUGUGCCCGGCAUCGUGCUAGGUGCGGGUUAUUGGGAGGACAAAACAGACAUAGUGACUACCCUGGAGGGCUCGACCCCAAUCAAUAGCCGAUCCACACGUGAAUCAUGGA